RNAcentral lists this ribosomal RNA (468 nucleotides) under uncultured bacterium. RNAcentral's name for it is "partial 16S ribosomal RNA". It matches the Rfam family "Bacterial small subunit ribosomal RNA", at positions 28 to 507 of the family's 1533-position model. The record is from RNAcentral.
GACGAACGCUGGCGGCGUGCUUAACACAUGCAAGUCGAACGGAAAGGCGCUGCUCUUGUUGGGUUCUCGAGUGGCGCACGGGUGUGUAACACGUGAGUAACCUGCCCCUGUCUUUGGGAUAACUCCACGAAACUCGGGCUAAUACCCGAUAGGAGCUCUUGCUCCAUAGUGUUGGAUGGAGAGUUUCGGCCGUUCUGGAUGGAAGGGAGGCUUAUCCGCUUGUUGGUCGAGUAGUUGCUUACCAAGGCUACGACGGAUAGGCGGCCUGGGAGGUUGACCAGCCACAUUGGUACUGAGAGACGGCCCAGACGCCUACGGGAGGCAGCAGUGGAGAAUAUUGCACAAUGGGCGGAAGCCUGAGGCAGCAACGCUGCGUGCGGGAUGACGGCCUACGGGUUGUAAACCGAUUUGGAAUGUGACGAAGCGGGAGUGACGGUAAUGGGUAAAGAAGCACCGGCUAACUACGUG